RNAcentral lists this ribosomal RNA (253 nucleotides) under uncultured bacterium. RNAcentral describes it as "partial 16S ribosomal RNA". It matches the Rfam family "Bacterial small subunit ribosomal RNA", at positions 524 to 776 of the family's 1533-position model. The record is from RNAcentral.
UACGUAGGGUGCGAGCGUUGUCCGGAAUUAUUGGGCGUAAAGGGCUCGUAGGCGGUUUGUCGCGUCGGGAGUGAAAACCAGGUGCUUAACACCUGGCUUGCUUUCGAUACGGGCAGACUAGAGGUAUUCAGGGGAGAACGGAAUUCCUGGUGUAGCGGUGAAACGCGCAGAUAUCAGGAGGAACACCGGUGGCGAAGGCGGUUCUCUGGGAAUGACCUGACGCUGAGGAGCGAAAGUGUGGGGAGCGAACAGG